GACGAACGCUGGCGGCGUGCUUAACACAUGCAAGUCGAACGGAAAGGCCCUGCUUUUGUGGGGUGCUCGAGUGGCGAACGGGUGAGUAACACGUGAGUAACCUGCCCUCGUCUUUGGGAUAACUUCAGGAAACUGGGGCUAAUACCGGAUAGGAGCUCCUGCUGCAUGGUGGGGGUUGGAAAGUUUCGGCGGUUGGGGCUGGACUCGCGGCUUAUCAGCUUGUUGGUGGGGUAGUGGCUUACCAAGGCUUUGACGGGUAGCCGGCCUGAGAGGGUGACCGGCCACAUUGGGACUGAGAUACGGCGCAGACUCCUACGGGAGGCAGCAGUGGGGAAUAUUGCACAGUGGGCGGAAGCCAGAUGCAGCAGCGCCGCGUGCGGGAUGACGGCCUUCGGGUUGUAAACCGCUUUCGCCUGUGACGAAGCGUGAGUGACGGUAAUGGGUAAAGAAGCACCGGCUAACUACGUG
This 468-nucleotide ribosomal RNA is filed under the name uncultured bacterium. RNAcentral's name for it is "partial 16S ribosomal RNA". It matches the Rfam family "Bacterial small subunit ribosomal RNA", at positions 28 to 507 of the family's 1533-position model. The record is from RNAcentral.